GGGGCUGUAACGGUUUCGACAGGUUAGUGAAAGCUGACCCGUGAUACAGGUCGAGAGUGAAUCUCCUCUCGUAAAUAAAAGAUUCAAAAAAAAUAGUAAAUGCGAACAACAUCGUUCCUUUUGCUCGUAAAGCCGCUCCUGUAGCUGCCUAAGACCAAAAAACUUGGUUCGAGCGCUUAUAGUGUGACUCCGUUAAACAUUAUAGGCAACCCUUAACGGAUGCCCUCUCAUACUGUUUUCAGUCAGUUAAAGAGUUAAGAUAAUACUGGAAAAUCCUGCUAUCAGGGAUAAUUGAUAGUUCCCGCCUGAUGGACUAGAAAGGCUAAACCUGUGAAUGAGCGAUAGGUAAAUAACUAAUUUGGACAGCAGUUCGACUCUGCUCAGUUCCAUAU
RNAcentral lists this transfer-messenger RNA (392 nucleotides) under Cyanobacterium sp. T60_A2020_053. It matches the Rfam family "transfer-messenger RNA". Rfam says of the family: Bacterial tmRNA, also known as 10Sa RNA or SsrA, is named for its dual tRNA and mRNA-like properties. Its role is to liberate the mRNA from a stalled ribosome. To accomplish this part of the tmRNA is used as a reading frame that ends in a translation stop signal. RNAcentral also lists the same sequence under 1 other name. The record is from Rfam by way of RNAcentral. Lineage: Bacteria; Bacillati; Cyanobacteriota; Cyanophyceae; Chroococcales; Geminocystaceae.